RNAcentral lists this ribosomal RNA (198 nucleotides) under uncultured bacterium. Its description in RNAcentral is "partial 16S ribosomal RNA". It matches the Rfam family "Bacterial small subunit ribosomal RNA", at positions 328 to 539 of the family's 1533-position model. The record is from RNAcentral.
ACGCUCGACACCUACGUGAGGCAGCAGUGGGGAAUAUUGCACAAUGGGGGAAACCCUGAUGCAGCGACGCCGCGUGAGCGAAGAAGUAUUUCGGUAUGUAAAGCUCUAUCAGCAGGGAAGAUCAUGACGGUACCUGACUAAGAAGCUCCGGCUAAAUACGUGCCCGCAGCCGCGGUAAUCUGAGCGGGCUGGCAAGGC